Oncorhynchus keta (chum salmon) is the source of this 1214-nucleotide long non-coding RNA. RefSeq lists it as uncharacterized. The transcript is spliced from 3 exons. The record is from RefSeq and is a predicted model, not a curated record. Lineage: Eukaryota; Metazoa; Chordata; Actinopteri; Salmoniformes; Salmonidae.
ACAGUAGAAUAGAAUACAGUAUAUACAUGUAUAUGAAAUGAGUAAAGCAGUAUGUAGACAUGAUUAAAAUGACCAGUGUUCCAUGUAGGGCAGCAAAUAGCGGUCAAACAAGGAAAUGGUUUCCAUCAUUUCUUCACCAUUCAUUCUUCCCGUAGGGGAUUCUUCCCAUAGGGGAUUCUUCCCAUAGGGGAUUCUUCUUCUUCCCAUAGGGGAUUCUUCCCAUAGGGGAUUCUUCUUCUUCCCAUAGGGGAUUCUUCUUCUUCCCAUAGGGGAUUUUUCUUCUUCCCAUAGGGGAUUCUUCCCAUAGGGGAUUCUUCUUCUUCCCAUAGGGGAUUCUUCUUCUUCCCAUAGGGGAUUCUUCCCAUAGGGGAUUCUUCCCAUAGGGGAUUCUUCUUCUUCCCAUAGGGGAUUCUUCUUCUUCCCAUAGGGGAUUCUUCCCAUAGGGGAUUCUUCUUCUUCCCAUAGGGGAUUCUUCUUCUUCCCAUAGGGAUUCUUCUUCCCAUAGGGGAUUCUUCCCAUAGGGGAUUCUUCCCAUAGGGGAUUCUUCUUCUUCCCAUAGGGGAUUCUUCCCACAGGGGAUUCUUCCCAUAGGGGAUUCUUCCCACAGGGGAUUCUUCCCAUAGGGGAUUCUUCCCACAGGGGAUUCUUCCCAUAGGGGAUUUUUCCCAUAGGUUAUUUUCCCCAUAGGUUAUUUUUCCCAUAGGUUAUUUUUCCCAUAGGGCGUGACAUUUUGAUAACCGUGUAAGUCUCUAGGACAAGGUGAAGGUGUCAGUUAGAGAUGAAGGUGUCAGCUAGAGAUGAAGGUGUCAGCUCAAGAUCAAGGUGUCAGCUAGAGAUGAAGGUGUCAGUUAGAGAUGAAGGUAUCAGCUAGAGAUGAAGGUGUCAGCAUGAGAUGAAGGUGUCAGCUCGAGAUGAAGGUAACAGCUAGAGAUGAAGAUGUCAGCGAGAGAUGGUGUCAGCUCGAGAUGAAGGUGUCAGCUAGAGAUGAAGGUGUCAGCUAGAGAUGAAGGUGUCAGCUAGAGAUGAAGGUGUCAGCUCAAGAUCAAGGUGUCAGCUAGAGAUGAAGGUGUCAGUUAGAGAUGAAGGUAUCAGCUAGAGAUGAAGGUGUCAGCAUGAGAUGAAGGUGUCAGCUCGAGAUGAAGGUAACAGCUAGAGAUGAAGAUGUCAGCGAGAGAUGGUGUCAGCUCGAGAUGAAGGUGUCAGCUAGAGAUGAA